GGCUACGAUGGGUAGGGGUUCUUAGUGGAAGAUCCCCCACACUGGCACUGAGAUACGGGCCAGACUCCUACGGGAGGCAGCAGUAGGGAAUAUUGGUCAAUGGGCGAAAGCCUGAACCAGCCAUGCCGCGUGCAGGAUGACAGCUCUCUGAGUUGUAAACUGCUUUUGUACAGGAGCAAAACAAUCCCUGCGGGGGUUCUUGAGAGUACUGUAAGAAUAAGCACCGGCUAAUUCCGUGCCAGCAGCCGCGGUAAUACGGAAGGUGCAAGCGUUAUCCGGUUUUAUUGGGUUUAAAGGGUGCGUAGGCGGCUUAUUAAGUCAGUUGUGAAAUCCUAGUGCUUAACGCUAGAACUGCAAUUGAUACUAUUAGGCUUGAGUA
Molecule: ribosomal RNA, 379 nt
Filed under: Cardinium endosymbiont of Encarsia inaron
Lineage: Bacteria; Pseudomonadati; Bacteroidota; Cytophagia; Cytophagales; Amoebophilaceae
Description: bacterial SSU rRNA
Rfam family: Bacterial small subunit ribosomal RNA
Source: RNAcentral